GCUAAUGGCUAGCUAGGUGAUUGACUGGCCAUUUGUCUGCAGUUAAGCAAUAUCUAGUUUUAGUAAUAUAAAUGCCUUUUUAUCAAUAGGUAUUUCAGCAAUCUGCCCGUGCUUCAAGGAUGGUCGUAUAGCGGAAGUGAUGACAGCAGUGGAAGAAUUUAAAUAUCAUCCUCAGAGAAUAACCAGCACGUAGCGGAAAAACUGAUAACUCCUCUGAGCUUUUUAGUCACUGUAAAUGAUGCUUCCACCAUCUUUCCAGAGUUUGACCUUGAUGCAAUGUGGGAACUUCUCCUCCCACUAAUAGAGCUCACAUCCAUAUUGCAUGGUUGGCUCAAACCUAAAGAGAGGACGCA
Chelonia mydas (Green sea turtle) is the source of this 353-nucleotide long non-coding RNA. RefSeq lists it as uncharacterized. NCBI's taxonomy places the organism in Eukaryota, Metazoa, Chordata, Testudines, Cheloniidae. The record is from RefSeq and is a predicted model, not a curated record. The transcript has 3 exons.